CGCGCCCUGUUAGGGGAAGGCGCGCCUCUCGAUAAUUUCAAGAAAACGCUGUUCGGGGGAGACACAUCUUGUAAAUAUCCUCGAUUCACAUUACUUUCAUCCUGAGCUCGCCUUACGAAUUCUUUUCCUGUCUAAAAAUAGCUACUAAAUAAAAUAUUAGGUUAGAGAUACACAAUAUUUAUUAUAUAAACACCACACAUAAAUAUAUCAAUAUAUUUGUGGUGUUAUAAUAAUAAUUCAUACUCGACAAGAGAAAUAUAUAAUUCGAUUACGCAUAAAAUAUUUAAAUUUAAAACAUACAUAUCCAAGAAUAAAUAUACGCAUGACAAGAAUAUAUAUACCAAAUGAAAAUUACAAAAAAUGAAAAACACUUAUCUUUACAUUGAACAUGAGAAUCUCCAUGUACCUGCACUUAUAUCAGUUCAACACUAAAAUAAUUUUCUAUGACAUGAGAUAAGAGUUUAAUACGUAAUUAUUUUAAUAUAAAGAACUACUAAUGAAAAUUUCGUGCCAUAAUAAAUUAACGAGUUAAAAUGCA
This 538-nucleotide long non-coding RNA is filed under the name Daucus carota (carrot). RNAcentral's name for it is "long non-coding RNA (DCAR_LNC003560)". The record is from RNAcentral. Lineage: Eukaryota; Viridiplantae; Streptophyta; Magnoliopsida; Apiales; Apiaceae.